Molecule: transfer RNA, 71 nt
Filed under: Pedobacter soli
Lineage: Bacteria; Pseudomonadati; Bacteroidota; Sphingobacteriia; Sphingobacteriales; Sphingobacteriaceae
Also listed under: 4 other names
Description: tRNA_Cys_GCA
Rfam family: tRNA
About the family: Transfer RNA (tRNA) molecules are approximately 80 nucleotides in length.
Source: RNAcentral
AGUCAUGUGGCCGAGUGGUUAGGCAGAGGUCUGCAAAACCUUUUACAGCGGUUCGAACCCGUUCAUGACGU